Molecule: ribosomal RNA, 331 nt
Filed under: uncultured bacterium
Lineage: Bacteria
Description: bacterial SSU rRNA
Rfam family: Bacterial small subunit ribosomal RNA
Source: RNAcentral
CAUGUAGGCGGUCUGCUAAGUUCGGAGUGACAGUCACCAGCUUAACUGGUGAAGUGUUUCGAAAACUGGCUGACUUGAGAACGAGAGAGGGACAUGGAAUUCCGGGUGGAGCAGUGAAAUGCGUAGAGAUCCGGAGGAACACCAAAGGCGAAGGCGGUGUCCUGGCUCGUUUCUGACGCUGAGGUGCGAAAGCCAGGGGAGCGAACGGGAUUAGAUACCCCGGUAGUCCUGGCCGUAAACGAUGACCACCAGGCGUGGGAGGGAUCGACCCUUCCGUGCCGUAGUCAACACAUUAAGUGGUCCGCCUGGGGAGUACGGUCGCAAGACUAAA